ACAUGGAGGGCAUCUGGCUUCCUAGUGACUAUGGCAAGGUUGGGCAAGGUUGGGGGCUCAGCACCUGUUGCUGAGUCAGAGACAUACAUCUUGCUGGGUCUUUUCUGCAGCCUGUUAUGGCUGCCAACGCAAGGGAGUGGGUGAGGGUCUGGGGCCUUCAAUCACAUUGGAGUCAUGGACUGGAUUGGGAAGGAGCCCUCAAGUGAAGUACCAGCUGGUAGAGAGUGAAUGCCUCUGAGUAGGUCAUUGUUCCUGUUUGCUUUCUGUUAUUCUGAUACAACACUCUGUCGUAAAGUAGCUUGAGGGAAGAAAGGAUUUCUUAGGUUUACACUUCCAGAUCACAGUCCAUCAAUGAGAGGAGCCAGUGUGUAAACUCAAGGCAGGAACUAUGGAAGAGUAUUGCUUACUGGCUUUCUCUUUGACUUAUGCUCAGCUAGCUAUAGCCCAGGACCUGCCUUGGAGUGAAACUGCCUAUAGUGGGCUGAGCCCUCCUCCCGACAUGAAUCAAGACUGUCUCUUCUAGACAUAGCCACAGGCAAAUCUGGAUAAGGAAAUUCAUCAAUUCCCAGGUGAUUCCAGGUUGUGUCAAGUUGACAGUAAAACUUAACUAGGACAGGUACUGAGAUGUGGAUGACUAGUACAAGAAACAGAAAACAAACAACAAAUUGGGUGACAUGGAUCCCAGGUGGAAUUGCACAUUAACUGGUUGUCUUCUUCAUGCCUUCCCUUUUCCUUGGGCUUUCUGAGCCUCACAGAAACUCAGUGGAUCACAGACUAUCUAGCACUUAGGAUGGCACUCAUCUGUGGCCAACUCUGUCCUUCCCAUCUCUUCUCUCUUCCCUAAAGAGAUGUCCAUAUCCUGUGAUUGAUCUCUGUAGGCCCUGGUUCUCUUAGUCUGAUAAGUGAGGCUGAGCUGCUGUGACCCUAUGGUGGUCCGCAGCCACGAUGCCUAAAAUAAGAACUAUGUAAAGGGUUUAGAAUUUUCUAGUAGCCAUAUGAAAAUUGAAAGAAGCCUGUAAAAUAAACUUUUAAAAUACAUGUAGGUCGGUGAAUAGAGUGCAUGUGAUUUCAGCAUACCACAAUGGUACCUCUCAGUGGCUCCUUGGUAUCCAGUGUUAGUGGUCGUAACAGUUCUAGACUUGAUGUUUGUGUAGCGCUGGGACCUGAACUCUGGUGACUCAAAGGCUAGCAUAUCAGUCAUCUAUUAGAAUGCUCUAGGCAAGCUGGUAAACCAAACGUUCUGAGGCAAAUGAGUCCUUACUGGGCCCUUCAUCUUGUCUGCUUACCCAGAUAUCUACUUUGCAUAUUUGCAUAUCCAUGGAGAUGGUUCUUAACAGCCUGAAAUAUCACUCUUCGGAAUUCUUAGGAAGAGCUAGAAUGUGGGGAAGUCACAUAAUAGGUUUAUUCUUGUGCGCUGUUUGAGUUCAAUCCCAAAAAGACUAGUGUCACAGUGGGUAUACCAUGUCUUGCUUUCCUCCCCCGUUUGUCUCUUUGAAGUCCUUCCCCCUUUUAGUGUUUGCUUUUCUCCUGUGCUGAUAGACAGCUGAGUCUUGAAAACCUUGCGUCUGUCCUCCCUAUGAGGAACACAGUCCUUCAAUGAAAUUAGAUAGAAGAGCAAAUGAAAUGUGCUAUAAAUCAUAUAAUUAUGACUCACACAAUUUCCCCACAUUAAACUCCCUAUAAGAAAUUACCCACCCUGCCACCCAACCCUCCACACUAAAUGUAGAAAAAAAUUUUAAAGCAGUUGUGACCUUGACCAACAUUUCAGGUCUAAAACCUGAAAGAAGAAAUUCUUAGAAAGACAAAGACAUUCCAUGAGCCCCACCAUGCCUGUAGCUGCAAGAGAGUCUGGGGAAAUGCACCAUUUGUUUUUUCAUCCUUAAGGUGAAAACUGCAAGAGAAUGUUAAGUUGGUGAACCAGUGAUGACAGUUAGGUGUGAUACUUAACCACAACAUGUAUGUUAGCUUACCAUAUAUGGAGGGCUUGUAGGAUCUGUACAUGCCAAACAUUUUAUAGAUAACAUUUCAUUUGAUUGUCACAGCUGCUUUUUGGUGCAUGUCCUUCCAGCCCCUGCUCUCCUUAUAACGGCUCUAAAGAGGUCAGUAUUUACCAAAAUCACAGAGAAAUUCCUUUGUGGUUGUGCUCACCUCCACCAUCACUGUCACUAAGUAGCUACCUCUAUUUCCAUACAGCUCAUCUUCCACGUACCUUAGGUGAAUUUGGAAGUGCUUGAUUGAUAUUCUUCCCCAUGGAUGCAGAAUGAGGGAGAGGUAAGAUUUCUGGCUCAAGAAAUUAGGACAGCAUGAUGUAUUUUCUGAGAGAAGAAGAUUUUUUAUUUUGGUAGGUGGUACCUGUCAGUCACCUCAGUAGCUGAUAAAAGGUAGUAGGUGUCUGGAGUGCAGAGAAAUUUCAUAGAAUUAACUCAUCCCUAAAAGAUUGAUGAUCACAACCAAACCAGUAUCACCUGCCUAGACUCCUUUUCUUGCAAAAUAAUAAACUAAGUGGUUUUUCCAGCAAGGCAGAAAAAAAAAUGGAGAAAUGACUGAUGAAUUCGAGUGACGUCUUUCCUACUGGCAGCCUCUGAGAUGAGACCCAACGAUGCCCACUUCCUAAUGCCAUGAGUAGUUACGAUCUAGAGAUUUGCUUCUAAUGAACACAAGCAAAGGCAAUGAGAGGAAAUCCAUAGCCAAAUCAUAGGCAGUUACAACCUCUACCUUAUUAGAAGACAUCCUUUGUUUUCUUGGCUAUUGUGCCCUGGGGAAGGAAAUACCCAUGUUGCAUAUUCCCUCAAGAAGGUGAUUAUUGGGUUCUUACUGCCAUUAACCCCACAGUCAACCGAAGUGGCAGUGUAACAAUAAGGAACAGAAUUCUGCUAAGUGUGUGAGCAUGGAGAGGAAUCCUUCCCCAGGCAAGUGUUCAGACAGACCCCCAGUUCUGGUAGGCAACUUGAGCUCAGUCUGUAAUAGAUCCUCAAGAACAGCAGGACCCUGACCUGCAGUUGGAACUUUUUCUCUCUCACUCGUUGUCACUGGACCAGUUUCUCUCCUGCCUACUGGGUCCCUGCACCCACGUAUGAAAUAAUCUCUCAGAGACUAAUACAUUAAAUAUAGUUGUUUUCCCAGUGGCUCAGGCUUCUUACUGGCUAGCUGUACCUAUAAAUUAACCGAUUUCUAACAUUCUAUUUCACCAUAUAAAGGCUCAUGGCUUGUCACCUCACAUCUUACUUCACUGGAAGCUACAUGUCAUUUCCUUGACCCCGCCUUCCUCCUCUCUGCAUCUUUGUUUGGAUUUCCUGUCUAGCUAUAUUUUUCCUGGCCAUUGGCUGAACAUCUUUAUUCAUCAACUAAUACAAGCAACACAUGUUCUCAGCAUACAGAAGGACAUCCCACAUCACUGACCUGCAAAUAUCGGAAGGAUAAAUGUGGACUGUUCAUCUGCUAGGUUUAUGGAGAUUAAUUAAAUGGCAAUAGAUAACAAACCCAACGAAUUAAAAUAGGACAUGGGGCCUUGUGGCAGUGAGCUAGCCAUCGGGCUGCUUAGUCCAAGAGCCAGGAGACUAUCUUCAAAGAGAUGCCCUAUUUGUCCAUUUAGAACCAGCUCUGAGAAUGAUUGCAUUUGGCUCACUAGAAUGAGAAGAACCUGAGCAGGAGGCAGCCAUAUUUGGAGCAGACCCUGAGCAGCAGCAGCUGAUCCAUGAGCCAGGCCAGGUGCACUGUGGGAGCAGUGGCAAAACCCUGGGAGCCUAACAGAACCACACAGCAAAGGCUUUUGACAGUGUUGAGACAGCCAGGCGAUUUCUUCUCCCUUCCAGGAACAGUCUCCUCUCUUACUGCUGCGAUAUACCCAACAAAAUUAACUGAAGGACAGAAAAGUUCAUUUUGGUUCGCCGUUUGAAGGAAGAGGAGAAAGUCCAUCCUGUGGUGAAGGCCGCGCAGCAGACAUGACAAUUGGAGGUCCCACUGAGAUCAUGAAAGCGAGG
This is a long non-coding RNA of Mesocricetus auratus (golden hamster), 3980 nucleotides long. RefSeq lists it as uncharacterized. The transcript is spliced from 3 exons. The record is from RefSeq and is a predicted model, not a curated record. NCBI's taxonomy places the organism in Eukaryota, Metazoa, Chordata, Mammalia, Rodentia, Cricetidae.